RNAcentral lists this long non-coding RNA (2635 nucleotides) under Homo sapiens (human). RNAcentral's name for it is "HSALNT0294956". Lineage: Eukaryota; Metazoa; Chordata; Mammalia; Primates; Hominidae. The record is from RNAcentral.
CCCUGAUCCGCUCUUCGCAGCUCUAAAGUUUUAGGGACAAUUUGUUCAGUGAAGCUUCUCAGACAAUAGAAAGUUCUGAGGUUUCCUGGACGUUGCGUUCGGGAGGCGGGGCCGGGACCCGCUGACGGCAGUUUCCCAGCCCUGUUCCCCCUCCCCUGCCCCCUCAGCCUGCGGGCAGCAGAAGGCGGCGGCCAGCCUCCUCCUGCCCCUCGGCCGGACGAACCGCGGCUGCCGCGCCUGUCACCUCUGCACCUGCCCGGCUGAGGUGAGAUGCCUGGCGCGCAAGAUGGACCACUUUUCUCCCUGCUGGCUUUCCGGGGUACUUGGCAAUGGGCCAGAGUGCAAUGCCUCUUGUGGAUGUUUGAGUAGGACCAGCAGUUGGGACUGUUCUGCCCCCAACUCUUCCCCAGCAGCAGCUCAAGGGACUCUGGCAAUGUUUGACUCUCAGCAGACACCCACAUAUGUGUCUCUGGUCUGAAAGUACAGGCAGGUUAUAAAACAACAUUUAAAAAUUACAUAUAUCAAUCUAUAUCUACUGAUUUACUUCAACCAUUUGGAGGGCUCAUUUGUGCAGGGACAACUGUGCACCUGAUCUUGGUAAUCUCCUUACCCUGACUAAUUUCAGUGUCACAGGAUGCUAUGCAUACCACCCAUGAGUUCUGGAUUCCUUCCUAUCCCCUUAGAUUUGGUUUCAGGUAGAAGAGGUAGCCCAUGAGUUAUGGGCCAAAGUCACAUAAAAGCCUCCCAUGGACUAGCUCACACACCGCCAGCUCCCCCAACCUCACCUGAGGCUGUGGGCAGAGGCAAGAACAAUUCCAGCUGCCCCAGCUACCCUAGCUACCCUGACCUCGGCAGCCUGGAGGAUCUAAUGCCCCAGCGCCACCAGGGAGCUGCCCAGUUGUUCCGGUGUGGAGAGUUGUUUUCCACUCUCCUUGAAUAAUGGAGAAUAGCUAUUGAAUAAUGAAGAAUAGCCACCCCACUCUCCUUGAAUAACUAUUUCCACUGGUGGAGAGGGGAGACUGAGCGUAAGGAGGCUGUAAAAAUCCACAUAUGGGACUUUUUGGGCGAUGGCUCAGGGCUGGGUAAGCUCUUGAAUUUCCACCUUGGACAUUUUGUGGCCAUUUAUUAGCAACAAAUGAAAUUCAACCACUUCUGGAAAAAAUAAAGUCAUCAUCAAAUUAAAUCCCUAAUGCCUAAAUUCAGCUGCCUUUAGCUGCUGGUCCUUGUGCCCCAACAGAUUUCAGUGCUAGAGGCCCCUCUCCCCUCCCUCCUUUCUGCCAACCUCAGCCUCCCCACCACCACCCGGCAGAAACCUCAGGUACCCCCUUUAUGUUCCAGGGUUGCUACAGAGAUAGACUGCAGGGCCCGGUGCUUCUUCCCUCAUAAGCUUUAGAUAAUUCUUCCUCUCAGUGGAAAAAAUAAAGGGAGAACUCUACUUAGCCAAGCACCUGCAAACCCAGCAUGAAGCGGGAGAUAGAGUCACAUUUAGAGGGUGAACCUGGUAAAACUGGGGUUCCUGAGACCAGAAAGAACAGGAAAGAAUUCUCUGUGUAGGACUCAUCUGGCUCCCAAGAUUUAGCUUUUUGGCCUGAGGCCUGCGGACUAAAGGGCCAAGGGAGUGCACAUGAAAGCAAGACAAAGCCCUGCUGCUCCCACUUGGCCCCACCAUUUCUCACUGUCCUGUCUGUCAGUCCCUGCUGAGGAUCUUGGGGCUUUGGAAAAAAGUCCUAGUCACCGCCAAGAACUGGGUGGCUCUCCGGAGUAGCGAGGGCUGGAAGCUGGAUACUCCUCAUGUUUCAUUUCUUUUGUUGCUUCAGAGACCUUGACCAUUCAGGCAAUCCCUUGCAGAUAAAGGAGAGGAGGCUACCGGACAGCCACAUGGAUUAAGCUUCAAGAAGCCAGGGAGAUCCCGGGAGAGUUAUGGAUUGGGGACAAGAGAUGCAGCAGGAAGGAUGCGUGUUGAUUUCUGCAGACCUUGGGGGCAAUUGAGUGGGGCCAGGAUGUUUCCUCACAUGCCUGUGUGUGACGCUGUGUACCCACGUAUGUGUUGUUUCCACAUUCUUGUUUGAUUCUAGAAAGGUACAUGGAUACAACGCGUGUGGGUGUACGAAGUGUAUGCAUGCUUAUGUGUGCUGCCGGAUAAACAUAUGGCUUUGUGUAGUCACACAUGAUACGUGCAUGACGCUUGUACUUAGCUUCCUAUAAAAAGUAUAUGGUAGUUGCUGAUGUACCCGUAUUUUUUUCGGGGUGCACGUUGGGGCCUCAAAACUCGCCGACUUUGGAUUGGGUUUUAUGGUGCUGCUAAGCAAUCCCGAACUCCUGAGAGUGCAGAAUGUUACCUUCCAGCAUUGCGGAAGCAAGGCAAAGGAGAGGGGCUGGAGGGCUUCCCAGGAAGCCCCUUCACCUCGCACCCAAGGCCUGUCUUUCCGCCUUGGUAACCUGAGGCAGGCUCCUCCCUCAUGCUCAGUGGGCUCAGCUCAGGCUCGAAGUUACGCAUCCUGCAUCCUGCGAAGGCAGGCAGGACCGGAGCUGGCGCCUGGAACGGCGGGCGCACCCUGCAGUCGAAGGUCGGGCUGCGGCGUUGCACGAAACGCCGUGGGGAAAGAGAAGCUGGGCCUGGGGGAACAGGAUUUCC